Non-coding RNA from Xenorhabdus khoisanae, 188 nucleotides. Lineage: Bacteria; Pseudomonadati; Pseudomonadota; Gammaproteobacteria; Enterobacterales; Morganellaceae. The record is from Rfam.
UAAUUGAAGAGUUUGAUCAUGGCUCAGAUUGAACGCUGGCGGCAGGCCUAACACAUGCAAGUCGAGCGGCAGCGGGAAGAAGCUUGCUUCUUUGCCGGCGAGCGGCGGACGGGUGAGUAAUGUCUGGGGAUCUGCCCGAUGGAGGGGGAUAACCACUGGAAACGGUGGCUAAUACCGCAUAACCUCUU